Molecule: long non-coding RNA, 1096 nt
Filed under: Microcebus murinus (gray mouse lemur)
Lineage: Eukaryota; Metazoa; Chordata; Mammalia; Primates; Cheirogaleidae
Description: lncRNA (ENSMICG00000048540.1)
Source: RNAcentral
AGCACACAUCGCUUCAAGAUUUUAGUUCUUUUUUUCCUUCCUCCAGAAUGAAGUGGACAUCAGACCCAUGUGUUCAAAAGUCCUGCAGACGGUGUCCUUGCCCGGACUGAUCCGCCUGCUAUGUGAGCCUGGCAACACCUCAGCCUUCGUGGUCUUGAGUGACAGCGCCACAGAGGUGGCUCUGAGGGAACAAGCCCUGGGGCAGCGCCCCUACCUCAGCACCAUCCCAUCAGCGCCUGAGUUCGUCUCCCCACAGCACCUGCUGAGCCAUCUGGUGCUGUAUGCUGUGAAGCCCUAUCGCGAGAACACAUUUGGAGUCAGCUCCCUGAGGCUCCUCCAAGCCCUGGGUCCCAUCACCGCCCUGCGCCUUGUCGCCAGCGCAGACGUGGACCAGCUGUGGAGCACGGAGAUCCCCCAGAUGUUGCAGAUGCUGUAUGAACACACAGAGAAGAGCCUGGAUCAGGAGGAGUGGGAGGACAGGCUGCUCCAGUUUUAUAGCAGGUCACUGGAGGCCAUCAGUGAUGACAGCUGGCUGGAGCAACAGACUGUGACCACCCUGGAAAGGAUAGAAAAUGGCAGUGACGAGGAGGAACAGAAGGCCUUCCUCUACAAAUUCUUUGCCUUCACCCUGCGGACCUCAAGCAGUCCGGACCUGGUGCGGAGGAUGCUCUCUGCAGUGCUGAACGCCUCCCACGAGGAGCCGCAGCAGAGGGAGGGCAUCGCCGUGGCACUCGCUAUCGUGUCCCUGAGACACCUGAGGGUAGCUCUGGACCAGCUGGAAGUGUACGGCGCGAACCUCACCGACAAGGACAGAUCGUGUGUCCUGACACUGACCAAGGAACAUCAGCACAGGGAGUGGGGGCUGGUCUGUAGCACCGUCUACCUAAGCUACAGGAAGAUAAUCUCAGUGACUGAAGAUGCCCUCUCACUACCUCUCGAUUCCAUUCUGGCCUUGGCCGUGGAACACUACGGCCACUGCAUCGUGGAAAAGGAUACGACUCUGACUCUGGCCUACCUGGACGCCCUGACGCAGAUGACCAGCUUCCUGGGCGAGCGGCCCAUGCCCUUGCCAUGCGAGGUUCCCCCCACAAACUAG